RNAcentral lists this ribosomal RNA (256 nucleotides) under uncultured bacterium. Its description in RNAcentral is "partial 16S ribosomal RNA". It matches the Rfam family "Bacterial small subunit ribosomal RNA", at positions 524 to 777 of the family's 1533-position model. The record is from RNAcentral.
UACGGGGGGGCAAGCGUUGUUCGGAAUUAUUGGGCGUAAAGAGCUCGUAGGCGGUUUGUCGCGUCUGCUGUGAAAACUCGAGGCUCAACCUCGGGCUUGCAGUGGGUACGGGCAGACUAGAGUGCGGUAGGGGUGACUGGAAUUCCUGGGUGUAGCGGUGGAAGUGCGGCAGAUAUCAGGAGGAACACCGAUGGCGAAGGCAGGUCACUGGGCCGCAACUGACGCUGAGGAGCGAAAGCAUGGGGAGCGAACAGGG